RNAcentral lists this long non-coding RNA (587 nucleotides) under Ananas comosus (pineapple). Its description in RNAcentral is "long non-coding RNA (ACOM_LNC007744)". The record is from RNAcentral. Lineage: Eukaryota; Viridiplantae; Streptophyta; Magnoliopsida; Poales; Bromeliaceae.
AACUCUAAUGCAAAAUUUUAUACGUGUUGGCAUUCGGUUAAAUCGAAUCGGGUACGCCCAUAAGCGGGUUCGAUCCGACGGAUAUUAUGUUAUCUAAUUGGAUUAGAAUUAAUCUCGCUUUCAAAUUAAAAAGCUAAUUAGAGAUAAAUAUAAUCAUAUUAGGAUAACAAAUAAUAACCGAUUUGGCCUUAUCUCUAACGUUAUUAGGAUUUUGAAAUUCCUUAUAAAUAUGCGGGCGAUCCCACCUAACAAAAUAUGAAAAAUAAUGGAAAAAGAGAGAGAAUAAGAAAAUAAUAGAGAAAAACCACAUCCUCCAUUGACCUAUUAUUCUAGAGGGACUUGCACGGUAGAUUUGCGAUCGCACUCGUUUGUAGUUCGAUCCACCGCGAGUUCGUGGAGCGUGAGAAGACAUUCAAGGACGAUCCGAGGACACGUGAAUCAAUCUAAACGAUCCGGGCUCACGCGUUGUUGCGCGAAUCGCUUCCGCAAAAAUGUACGAACCGAUAACUGCCGCUGCGUUCUACAAUACGACAACCAAAGAUUAUUGAAAUUUUUCUUCACUCAAAUAACACUUUUGUAAAAUAUAU